CACCUGACCAGCCACUCCCCUGCCACACGGAUGUGUGAAGAUACGCACAGUUCAGUUGGUAUCUGAGUAGUUGCCGACAAGAGGUCAUCUGACUUGAUGUAGCUACCUGUAUUGGCUGGCUGGUAUCCAUGCUCUCCACUUGACCCACUUGGUGUUAUUUAUCAUGUCCUGUUACGUUGUAUUUAAACACACUCUACAACCUUGGUCUGUCGUAUACCAUCAGGGCACGAAGCAGGACUGCCUCACUCACCCAUCGUAUACCGCCAGGGCAUGAGGUAAUGCUGCCUCACUCCCACAUCGUAUACCGCCAGGGCCCGAAGAAAGACUGCCUCACUCACUCGUCGUAUACCGCCAGGGCAUGAGCCUUCCGACUAAGGCAGGACGACCGCGAGUCCUGGACUGAGGGGUACGACGUGGACGACCCAGUGAGCGGCGACGGCGACUACGAAACGGUUCAAUCCAUCACCAGGGCUCUGAGACGGAAUAUCUGCCCAUCAACUCACAGAAUCAACAGAGCUGACUGCGAUGUCGACAACGGUGACGUCGACGACAUCGUGAGGGAAGACAGUCUGGCAUUGCCCUGCUCCACUGCGGGUCUAGCCUGCAGGAAUAGUGACCAGACUUCCGGAAUAUGCAAUAACUACAGAAUAAGAUUCUUCUGUCAACCACUAAACAGGGUCCACACGGAAGGAGACACGACACAAGACGAGGACGAGGAAAGGAAUGGUACAAGAAGCGUCCCCCGAUUUGACAUGCGCAUAUUUACAUCGUCCUCGCGGCUAUUCCGGUCGUCAUCAUCCUGUUCCGUAUUUGCUGCUCAUGCACCUUAGAGAAGCGACGUCGCCGGAACACACGUUGUACGCGUGCGCGACGUCCAGCUCAAGACGAGGAGGCGGUUCAUCCGGAAGUGUUUCUUCCUCCGCCGAGCUAUCAGGAACUAUUUGGCUUGAAUGGAGGGCCUUUCUUGUUAUCUCGACAUUUUUCUUUGUGCAGAAAGUGCAAAUCUUCCCAAUGUGGAAUUUUUAGAGACAGACAUUUGAUAAAUCUUGACUCUGAAACAUCUAACGAAUCUCUUUCUACUUCAUCUGAAGAUGAGCCGGACGUCAUGAUAACAUCGGAAAUCACGUCUUCAUCCGCGGGGUCUCCGUCAUUUUCGAGAUCAAGCUCGCUCAGUAAAAGCAAUUCUUCCGAAAGCAGUGCCUCCACAACGAACACAGACGCCGAGGCUCCCACCUCUCAAACAGUCCAGCCUGCUCAGUGUGACUGCCCUUGCCAUAAACAAGCACCGGAAGUCAGUGUUUAUGACAAUCCCGCAUAUGAACCGGAAGUAGAGAUAAAGAAUGGCCGAUCAUCACGGAUACCGGGGAUGCAUUUGCCUGUAUUCUCUUUAUUUAGGUCCACAUCUGCUUCCUCCGUGGAAGAAGCCCCACCUCCAACCUACAAGGAAGCUGUGACAAUAUUGAAACUGAACGAAAACGGCUCUCGUUGAAACACUGUUGUUUGUUCGUCAGAAACACAUGCGGGCAUGUCCAGCUAUCUCGUAUUGAUAUUCAGGGCUGGUCCUUGAAAUAUGAAAAGCCCAU
Molecule: long non-coding RNA, 1583 nt
Filed under: Haliotis rubra (blacklip abalone)
Lineage: Eukaryota; Metazoa; Mollusca; Gastropoda; Lepetellida; Haliotidae
Description: uncharacterized LOC124276677
Source: RNAcentral